GAUGAAGAACGCAGCGAAAUGCGAUAAGUAAUGUGAAUUGCAGAAUUCAGUGAAUCAUCGAAUCUUUGAACGCAUCUUGCGCUCCUUGGUAUUCUGAGGAGCAUGCCUGUUUGAGUGUCAUUAAAUUCUCAACUACACUGACUUUGAAUUGGUGUGGCUUGGAUUUGGGGGGAAAAUUGUUGUGGGCUUUUUGUACAGUCUGCUCCCCUGAAAUUGAUUAGCGGUACCUUUGUGGAACUGUCUACAGGUGUGAUAAUUAUCUUCAUCUUAGACAUCUGCUGGAAUGCUGCUUUCUAAACCUUACUUGUAUUGACAAUCUUGACCUCAAAUCAGGUAGGACUACCCGCUGAACUUAAGCAUAUCAAUAGCGGAGGA
RNAcentral lists this unclassified non-coding RNA (375 nucleotides) under soil metagenome. RNAcentral describes it as "partial contains 5.8S ribosomal RNA, internal transcribed spacer 2, and large subunit ribosomal RNA". The stretch from base 1 to 120 matches the Rfam family "5.8S ribosomal RNA", at positions 35 to 154 of the family's 154-position model. The record is from RNAcentral.